GGCCCCUUCGUCUAGUGGCCUAGGACGUCGGGUUCUCAGCUCGAAGACAGGGGUUCGACUCCCCUAGGGGCUACCA
RNAcentral lists this transfer RNA (76 nucleotides) under Bacillota bacterium. RNAcentral's name for it is "Firmicutes bacterium (hot springs metagenome) tRNA-Glu". It matches the Rfam family "tRNA". From Rfam's summary of the family: Transfer RNA (tRNA) molecules are approximately 80 nucleotides in length. Their secondary structure includes four short double-helical elements and three loops (D, anti-codon, and T loops). Lineage: Bacteria; Bacillati; Bacillota. The record is from RNAcentral.